This 429-nucleotide ribosomal RNA is filed under the name uncultured microorganism. RNAcentral's name for it is "bacterial SSU rRNA". It matches the Rfam family "Bacterial small subunit ribosomal RNA", at positions 427 to 869 of the family's 1533-position model. The record is from RNAcentral.
AAACUCCUUUUUUCAGGGAGGAAGUUCUGACGUGUACCUGAAGAAUAAGCAUCGGCUAACUCCGUGCCAGCAGCCGCGGUAAGACGGAGGAUGCAAGUGUUAUCCGGAAUUAUUGGGCGUAAAGCGUCUGUAGGUGGUUUAUCAAGUCUAUUGUUAAAGGAUAAAGCUCAACUUUAAAACUGCAAUAGAUACUGUUAGGCUCGAGUACAGUCGAAGUAGAGGGAAUUUCCAGUGAAGCGGUGAAAUGCGUAGAUAUUGGAAGGAACACCAAUGGCGAAAGCACUCUACUAGGCUUUAACUGACACUGAGAGACGAAAGCUAGGGUAGCAAAUGGGAUUAGAUACCCCAGUAGUCCUAGCCGUAAACGAUGGAUACUAAACAUUGCGUGUAUCGAUCCGCGUGGUGUUAUAGCUAACGCGUUAAGUAUCC